GCCCUCAGAUAGCUAGGAAGAUUGUUUUAAACCCUCACCCUACUCGUGAUGAUGAUUUUCUUGUUGUCGAUGAUCACAGGACAAAGUAUGGAUAUCAAGAACCGAUAAAUAACAUGUGCAAAGAAUUUAACCGUUUCUCACAGCUGUGGUUCCAGGGCAUGCCGCGUGAAUCAUUCAAAGCGACUGUAAAGAUGUUGAAGAUUCCAAUCAAAUUGAACGGUAAGACCAAGAUAUCAUGAUUUACACUGAUUUAAUCUUGAAAUUAUGCAAUUAUGAACCAAUGGUUCUCUCUCUAAUCCGUAUCGAUUAGUCUAAUCUGGUCUCACGACUUCUAAAUGUCUCAUCGACUUGUGCAAAACCGAGCCUAUCUAGUCGAUUGGCUCUCACUAAUCCGUUCUUUUCCAGGUGGCUCGUUGACGCAAAAAGCAUCUUCUUGGUCCUUAUUCAUUGGUCACACGAAUCAGAUCUACCUGCUGCUUUUAAACGUCAUGGUUUUUUUUGUGUUAUAUAAAUCUUGUCCUUUUUAUCUUGUAAUGUAAA
Long non-coding RNA from Bradysia coprophila, 540 nucleotides. The record is from RefSeq and is a predicted model, not a curated record. Lineage: Eukaryota; Metazoa; Arthropoda; Insecta; Diptera; Sciaridae.